RNAcentral lists this ribosomal RNA (484 nucleotides) under uncultured bacterium. RNAcentral describes it as "partial 16S ribosomal RNA". It matches the Rfam family "Bacterial small subunit ribosomal RNA", at positions 29 to 507 of the family's 1533-position model. The record is from RNAcentral.
AUUGAACGCUGGCGGCAUGCUUUACACAUGCAAGUCGAACGGCAGCGCGGGCUUCGGCCUGGCGGCGAGUGGCGAACGGGUGAGUAAUACAUCGGAACGUGCCCAGUAGUGGGGGAUAGCUCGGCGAAAGCCGGACUAAUACCGCACACGACCUGAGGGUGAAAGCGGGGGAUCUUUGGACCUCGCGCUAUUGGAGCGGCCGAUGGCAGAUUAGCUAGUUGGUGGGGUAAAGGCCUACCAAGGCGACGAUCUGUAGCUGGUCUGAGAGGACGACCAGCUACACUGGAACUGAGACACGGCCCAGACUCCUACGGGAGGCAGCAGUGGGGAAUUUUGGACAAUGGGCGAAAGCCUGAUCCAGCAAUGCCGCGUGUGUGAUGAAGGCCUUCGGGUUGUAAAGCACUUUUGGCGGGAACGAAAAGAACUGUGCCAAUACCACGGUUCGAUGACGGUACCCGCAGAAUAAGCACCGGCUAACUACGUG